AGAGUUUGAUCAUGGCUCAGGACGAACGCUGGCGGCGUGCUUAACACAUGCAAGUCGAACGGAAAGGCCCUUCGGGGUACUCGAGUGGCGAACGGGUGAGUAACACGUGGGUGAUCUGCCCUGCACUUUGGGAUAAGCCUGGGAAACUGGGUCUAAUACCGAAUAAGACCAUGCGCCUCCUGGUGUGUGGUGGAAAGCUUUUGCGGUGUGGGAUGGGCCCGCGGCCUAUCAGCUUGUUGGUGGGGUAAUGGCCUACCAAGGCGACGACGGGUAGCCGGCCUGAGAGGGUGACCGGCCACACUGGGACUGAGAUACGGCCCAGACUCCUACGGGAGGCAGCAGUGGGGAAUAUUGCACAAUGGGCGCAAGCCUGAUGCAGCGACGCCGCGUGAGGGAUGACGGCCUUCGGGUUGUAAACCUCUUUCAGCACAGACGAAGCGCAAGUGACGGUAUGUGCAGAAGAAGGACCGGCCAACUACGUGCCAGCAGCCGCGGUAAUACGUAGGGUCCGAGCGUUGUCCGGAAUUACUGGGCGUAAAGAGCUCGUAGGUGGUUUGUCGCGUUGUUCGUGAAAACUCACAGCUUAACUGUGGGCGUGCGGGCGAUACGGGCAGACUUGAGUACUGCAGGGGAGACUGGAAUUCCUGGUGUAGCGGUGGAAUGCGCAGAUAUCAGGAGGAACACCGGUGGCGAAGGCGGGUCUCUGGGCAGUAACUGACGCUGAGGAGCGAAAGCGUGGGGAGCGAACAGGAUUAGAUACCCCGGUAGUCCAA
Molecule: ribosomal RNA, 773 nt
Filed under: uncultured bacterium
Lineage: Bacteria
Description: bacterial SSU rRNA
Rfam family: Bacterial small subunit ribosomal RNA
Source: RNAcentral